This 730-nucleotide long non-coding RNA is filed under the name Cyanistes caeruleus (blue tit). Its description in RNAcentral is "lncRNA (ENSCCEG00000024038.1)". The record is from RNAcentral. Lineage: Eukaryota; Metazoa; Chordata; Aves; Passeriformes; Paridae.
CCACUUUCUUCUUUAAUCUCGCUCUUCCAUGCGAUGGAAGAGAAAUCCUGCCCCCCGGAGACUCGCCGCGACCCGCCGUGUGCGCUUCCCCCCCAGCCCCCUGCCUUGCUUCCCCGGGGAAAUGUGUGAUUUGUUUUGGUUUCCAAACCACUUCAUCCCGCUUCUCCUCCCUUAUCACUGGUUUUCCGCAUCAAGACCCUCAUCUGCGAGGCACGGGGUGCCUGACUUCACGUUGCCUUGCUAAAUGUGCCCGGGAGCGCAGCCGGCACCCCGGCGGGAUGGGAAACUGGGGGAGCUCCGGCGCUUCCCACACAUCCCUGCCGUCGUUCGCGGAAUCCUUCGGGUGCUGCUCCGCCACCGACUCCCACCCACUAGGAAGAAUUAUUCCACAGUAUCAGUCUGCCCUGUUUUUCACAGAGCUAACAAGGGAGCCUGCACAUGCUGCCCCAGAGCAGACUUUGCAAGGAUUUUCUUCAAGUGGAGAAAGCAGAGGUUGUGGAGAAAGUACUGGAGAAGAUGUGCCGAGUCCUGGUUCAGCACCGUAUCUGUGACAGCGGUGCUGCCUCCUCCAUUACAUCCCAUGUCCCAAGUGUCACUGUGGUUUGAUUUUCCUUUCCAGGAGGACUUUAGGGCAUGUUUAUCUUCUCAUGCUGGUUAUGUAGUUGCUGCCUUGGCGGUCGCUGUGUUACUGAGUGCUUCCAAGAAGAAACCUAAACCUGAGUGUCCCUAG